UGCUGCCUCAAACACCCCUAAGCAUCUAUGUGUAUAGCUUUAAGGAAAUAGAUCUGCGGGAUCGAUUGAUGGUCAUAAAGUGCUGAAGAUUUGACUGAUACUGCAAAUAGACACUAAGUUAUAGGAGGAAUGAUGAGCCAGGCAAUGGAUAAAAUUGGACCAACUGCAGACCCGUUUCCAAAUAAUAAGCAACGUUUUACGAAUUGUCUUCUAGAAGGAACCGAGCCCAAGGAGAAUGUAUUCAGAGCCUAGAUGAGAAGGUGCUUCUAAAGGGACAUUUCGGAGUUAGCCUACAGACGCCAAGAUAGGCUCCAGCCAGAGUUGGACGUCUUGGUCACAUAAGCGGCCUGCAGGGAAGCUGCCUUGUAAUAGGUGCUUUUCUUUUACUGAAGCCAUUGUUCCUCCCUCCCCCAACCCCUUGGCUGCAUCCCUUCGGGGGAUUUCCAAGCAAUUUGAAGACUAACAAGAGAUGAAGGACUGAAUAAAAGAAUAAAGUUCUCAACAGAGGAAGAGAGGAAAAACAAUCCCGUGCUCCUCCAAAUUCAGACUCUUAGAUCCUAAUUCUGGCUCUGACAAUGACUUGCUGUGGAAACCAAGCAAAGGAACUCAAUUUCUUUCUGCUCCCUUUCUAAUCUGAGAACAAGGGCUAAACUGGCUCAGAGG
Zalophus californianus (California sea lion) is the source of this 663-nucleotide long non-coding RNA. RefSeq lists it as uncharacterized. The transcript has 3 exons. NCBI's taxonomy places the organism in Eukaryota, Metazoa, Chordata, Mammalia, Carnivora, Otariidae. The record is from RefSeq and is a predicted model, not a curated record.